This is a long non-coding RNA of Mesoplodon densirostris (Blainville's beaked whale), 1170 nucleotides long. RefSeq lists it as uncharacterized. The record is from RefSeq and is a predicted model, not a curated record. The transcript has 5 exons. NCBI's taxonomy places the organism in Eukaryota, Metazoa, Chordata, Mammalia, Artiodactyla, Ziphiidae.
UCUGCGCUGCGGCUGGAGGUACGGCUGGUCCUCUGCCUGCUGUCCACUGCCACCUUGGCCUGCUCUUGCCACCCUGGCGCCGCGAACUCUGUGCCGCCUCUCCCUUCACCCUGUCUUGGGACGGCCGGCGCUAAGAAUUCAUGCUAUGACCUUCGAUACAGCCAGGAGGUGACACCAAACUCGAUCAGAAACCAUGCCACUGGUGAAGAGGUAUAUUGAGCCCUGCCUGGCCCAAUGAGGUUACUAGAGAAUUGGAAGAGACUCAAAUCAGCAUCCUGCACAUGGUUAUCAAACCAUUGUGAAGUCUUAAUUCCUGGGCAGCCUGAAACCUUGUCAUUGGUCAAGAGCAACACUAAGACCUACCUGUCACUUAUCCUGAGGCUUCCUGCCCAGUGGGUUCACCAGCAAGCCAGAAUGAAGCAUCAUUGCCCAGGAUGUCCUUGUGAAGCCAUUAGGAAGUCUUGGCUGAAUUUUGAAGGAUAUCUUUGAAAAGUGUUUUAGAGAGUCUACCAGAUUUUCCAUGUGAGUGCACGUGCAGCAGAAGAGGGGGUCUUCUCAGUGAUUAAGCUACUGUUCUCCAAUUCAUCAUUAACUUGAAUAUAAGAAUUACUUUGGGGACUUCCCUGGUGGCGCAGUGGUUAAGAAUCUGCCUGCCAAUGCAGGGGACAUGGGUUCAAGGCCUAGUCCGGGAAGAUCCCACAUACUGCGGAGCAGCUAAGCCCGUGCGCCACAACUACUGAGCCUGCGCUCUAGAGCCCGCGAGCCCCAACUACUGAGUCUGUGUGUUACAACUACUGAAGCCGCGUGCCUAGAGCCCGUGUGCCACAGCAAGAGAAGCCACCGCAAUGAGAAGCCCGCGCACCGCAACGAAGAGAGUAGCCCCCGCUCAACGCAACUAGAGAAAGCCCGCACGCAGCAACGAAGACCCAAUGCAGCCAAAAAAAAUAAUAAAUUAAUUAAAAAAUAAAAAAAUUACUUUGUAAAAUUCUACUUCAUCUAAAAAAAUUCAUUUAGGGAUAUUUAUCAUGGUAGCAUUUGAUUUAUAAAUUCAUUUGGUCAGAAUUAACGUGCUUGUAACAUUUCUCCUCCUCUAGAGACAUUUAGUCAAGUCUUUUUAUGUCCUAAUAAUCAUAAUUUUCAUCAUGUAGAUCCCCCCAGUAUUUCUUAUGU